GUACUUGAGGAACGCAAACGUGGGCCAGUGCCAUGUUGUCCAAUCAAUGAUUUGGCCACGGAGCACAACGGACCUCAGUGAGCACCGCGUCUGUCAGGGAGCAGCAUCUAUGCUGCGCAGGGACCGUUUGCGCACCAUCGGGGGAGCGCUCACACCUUCACCGCAACGAUCAAACCGAAAUAACGUGACUAGACUGACUAGGAGAUCAUUUGUAAACGCCUGCUCUCACAGAUUUUCUACGCUUUCUUUGUGUUGUUUUUAUAACGAGAGGCUACUCUGCGGCGAAUCAAUUUCCUUUCAAACCCGGGGAUUACAAUGAAAAAUGUAGGUGACACAUUUUCUUUUACAAUCCAGGAAUCGCAAUAGAAUCCAAGCGAAGACUGCAAAGAACAAAGCAGGGGAAAUGGUGACGGGUGCCGCAUCUGUAGGAUCAGCAUCCUCUCUGUGGAGCCCCUGCGUAAAAGACAAAACAGUGAACAACUCCAUGUGAAGCUGUGAGAGGAGGAGAAACUUCACCAAGCAGAGGGAAGGUGGAAGCAGCCUGGACCUCAUCAGCACCGUCCUGAGUGCCGAGGUUUUCCUGGGAAGUUUCUCAGCUGCUUUCAAAGCCGAGGCUCCUCAUUGUUUACUCUCAUUUUUCCACUAUUUUUACUUUCUCUGACAUUGUCAGAAUCAGGAUUUGAGCCCUCGUCCCCUCUCGUCAGCUGCUCUGUUCCAACUGAGACCAAAACCAGCUGCCAAACUGACUGUGUCAAACGAAGAAGCAAAAAACUACCCAUCACUAAGUCCUCGUAGGAACUAGUUAGUAACUAGAAAACAUCUUCCAUCGUCUCCUCCUCAACCCACAAACACAUUACAGCGUCCAGUUAAACUGACACUGAAUCUCAACACAUUCACAACAGAGUGUUAAAGAGAUAUUUUAGAACCAUUGUAAAGGUUUAUAUCCGUUGUCUUCGGUCAGUGUUUGCUGCUCUUAAUGCUUAAAACUGCGAGAUGAUGAUGAUGAUUAGUACAUUAUUAGUUCCAAGUGCUUUGUAAACGGAUUCUCCAGCUAAGGGUUUGUUUGUAGCUGGCAGCAUGGCAGGCAGCGAUAGCUCUGCCUCUUUGGCAGGAUGGCGUUUGACUGACAGGCAACACGGGCCACGUCUGCCCUGAUAAAUAUCGGCACCGCUGCCGCUGCUAUCUCGGGGGCUUGGAGAGACACUGUCGUCUCAGUCUGCGCUGUGAAACACUGCUGACACUUUGCCUUCUCCUUCUUCCAGUUGCUUACGUGCGAGAGGUCUCUGACUUUUUGUCGUCUUGUUUCUUCCAUAUGUGGCUCUUGAUUACACCGCACUAAACAACCCGAUCGCCCCCUUUAUCUAAUCCCAGUGACCUCAUCAGACUUUUUGCAUUCUUCCUGUUACUCUACUGAAACAUGCAAUUUAAAACCUUUCACAGUAUUUACAUUUUUUUUGUGGAAGGACAUCCAGUUUGUAAAAAAAAAAGGGAACACAACCUAAAGCCAUACUGAACACCAGCCAUAACGAUACCGUUCACAUUUACAAAACAGCUUCGACAUUACUUCACACGGUGACUUUCAGUCACGUCGGUGCACAUACGCAUUCAGGGAGCGGGUGAUGAAACCGCUGGUGAGACGUUUCACACAUUUCAAUGAGAGAACAGCUUUGGACGUCCUGACUUUUUCUACCUGCGUCUUUCUGGCUCGCGCUCUGAACUGAACCGUCAAGUGGCACGAGCGUGUUGAUUCGCCGUCGUCGUCGUCCCGUGUUCCUCUGUGUUGACGGAUGAAUCCGGACACUUUCAUGUCUGUGCUGUGGGCAGAACCUUGCUCCCCUGCUAGAACCGGGCCCAAGCCCUCCUUCAUUCUCUUCUGCUGGGCCACGCUACAUUCAGAGCAGACACUCACACAAGGGCAUCGACCGCACUUAGAUCCUCACGGUCUUCACCUCUGCUCUCUCUAAUCUGUGAGCACUUCAUCGCUGUUGAUUCUGUGAAUGCCUUGACGUGUCGUUUAGCAGCACCUUUAUUUUUAAAGUCACCACUCUCUAUUCAUUUAAACCAAAAUUUUAAUAAGCAUAUUGACCUUUACUGAUAUUGCUCCUUGAAUUUUCAGAAGGGAGGAGCUGGUUCAUCGAGCAAAUUGUGUGCGGUGUAGAAAGAAGAAGAAGAAGAAGAAGAAGAAAGAAACGGGUGCCAAAUUUAGACUGACUUCCUCUCAGCUUGUUCACCAAAGCUGAGAUCUCUAAAGCUGCCAGCACUGUUUACACACACACAGCUUGAAUAUUUGAACUGAUAACAUUAUUUUUCCACAUGUGAUUUUAUACAUCAGUUAUCCACACAGGACAACAGAAGUGCCGAACCCCAGCAUCAGUUAAAGCUCGUCGCACGUGCACAGUAAAGUUUACACACAGCGCUUAAUGUUUACAGACUACAUCUGUCGUCGCAGGUUCUUAUGUGAAUUUUACCUUUUGUGUCACAGAAAACCUCUUCUGGAGCAGCCAUUUGUUUUGUUUACAUCAAAUGUAAGGAAGUACUGCCUUUGUUGGGGAUUUAACAUUUUGGCCAGUUGGACAGUAAAACCACUUUUUCAUCCAACAGACCAAAAUUACAUAUCCAGCACCAACAACCCCGUUCUGUGCUAUAUUUUUAAAGUGAUUAUUUCGGAGCUCCAGCCUGUCAGCAGGCUGUUUGUAUAGGGCCUAAAACUCUUGACACACCUCAAUGUUUACAAAAGCUGCUUAAGGGAAUAGUUUAUGUAAGAGAAAUGUUUACAUAUGACAUUGAUGAAGCAGUGUUUGGACAGAGUGAAUCUGCUGGACUCCUAAGAGACACCCUUUGCAUGUGGGAAGCGUGAACACAACAGGAAGGGGUUCAUUCACCUGGACUGUUCUUACAGACGGUUUUUAUAAGCGAAGCUGUCGCCUUGGAAGCUCCCAGUGUGUUAGAAGCUGUUUAUGUACAUUUUUUAACAACAGCUGAAGAACUUUCUGGUAAAAACAAUGACACCUACAGUUUCAAGAAGGAUGUUUUGCUUGUCCUUCGUAGUCCUGCUUGUCUCCCGUCUCGCUGUUUCCACGGGGACCGUCAGCACCGAGCGACGUGCUGCUGACAGUGGCUCUGCUGCAGCAGGUAAAACGAGCACCGCCUUGUUCCUCCUGACCGGCUACAAGCCCCCGAUGCCCGCCGGGCCCAGAGUGGCGCUGAAAGCAGCCGAGGUAGAGGAGGGAGACGAUUCCCCAGUUAUGGCCGAGCUCCCCCCAAAGCCCCUCCCUCAGACCAUGCUGCCGAGGAACAUGACGGCAGACGCCCUGAAGCCCCCGCUUGGUGCGGCCCAGGUGGCUCCUCCUCCAAGACAGCUGGUGGAUGUGGACGUGUGCAGGGGUUACUUUGACGUCAUGGGACACUUUGACAGCACGUUCAACUGUUCCAAGGGCAGCUACAUCUACUGCUGCGGCACCUGCCACUACAGGUUCUGCUGCGAGCACCAGAGGAACCGGCUGGACCAGGACUCCUGCACCAACUACAAGUCCCCCGUCUGGGCCGACCCACAGGUCCCCGUCACCGUGCCCACAGGCAACAAGCCUGACCCAGACUUCGAGACGCUUCAGCAAACCAACAGCAGUACGGCCUACGUGAUUGGAGGGGUGAUCUCCUUCACGCUGGUGGUGGCUGUGGGUGUCAGGAUUGCCUUCAGCAAGGUGUCGCGCCGACCCCAAAACAGGGACAUCAACAUGCCCAGGUCGCUGGUGGAUAUCUUACGUCACCAGUCGAGCCCCGUGCAGCAGGGGGAGAGGAACAAGAACACGAUGCUGACUCCCACCGCCUCCGACGGACGCAUAUCCAAAAACCUCUACACCCCCAUCCUGCAGAGCAAAGACAACCGCACUGGGAACUUGCACCACCAUUUUAACCAGCAGGGGUCUGCCUCCAGCCCCAAACACUCUGCUACCAUCGAACGUGGAACCCGUUUGAACAACACCCCCCAGCUCUCCUCUGGUCCCACCUUGAUUUCAAGCAGCAGUAAAGGUCCUGGUGGUGUUGGUGGUGGCAGCAUCCUCGGAGGCAGCAUGAGACACAACAGCGGCCACCCAUCCUUCUCCCACUCCUUCCACAACCUGGCCCAGCUGCCACCAUCCUACGAGGCAGCCAUGAAACCUGAGCUCAACCGCUACAGCUCGCUAAAGAGGCUGGAGAAAGAACUUGAUGAGUACUACGCCUCCAAACGUCGCUUCAACAACGCUCCGCCCUCCUUCCACUCCUCACAACACCAACUGCCCUGGGCAGGUGACUACACACUGGGGUCCAGGGGCACGCUGCCCCUCAACAGCUCCAGGCCUCGACUCCACAUCCCUGCCACCACCCCAAACCCAUACCCGCUGCCUGGCCAGACGCACUACGCCAGCUCCUCCUUCGACAGGCCGCCGCGCCGCGUCCGCUCCCAGGACCAGCUGCUGGCACUCGGGGAGGGCAACACACUGUCCCAGCUGUCCAAGAACCAGCAACACCAGUACUACAAAGCCAUGAUGGGCACCAGCAGGAGUUCCAACUCACAGACCCUCCGCAGGUCCCACGAAAGGCUCCUGGUCUCUCCUGACCGUCUGGAGGACCAGCUGAUGGCAAUGGGGCUGAUGGUGGGUGGAGGUGACAGAAGCGGGAUGGUGCCCACCAUGGGCCGGCUCAGCCACCACCAGAAGGCCCAGUCGCAGCAGAACAUCUGCGUCACACCAUCCAUGGACCGCCACCACAUGAUCAAGAUGAACUCCCACCCAACGUCGGGCCACGAGCACGACCGCAGCCCCACCGCCAUACCCGGCAUGGGCCUGCACAGCUGGGACCUCUUCGGCGGAACAGGAGGCCACCCCAAUGCCCGGCGGAUGGCUUUCGCCAACAAGAGGCAGAGCACCAUCGAACAGCUGCACUUCAUCCCUGGAGGAGGAGGAGGGCAGGGACUGCGGACUGGGAGUAAGAACGAGGUGACGGUGUGAGAGAAAGAGGGAGAGAGUGAGGGAGGAGAAGUGAAGGCUGAGGUCAUAACGAAGCUGGGACAGGAUGAGCAUCAUCCUGUCCCAGCUUAGUGGGGAUUUGAAACGAGCCAGGAAAGUUGGAAGAAGACGAGGAAGAGGCUUCAUCUCGGCUGGCUGUCUCGCAGAGCCCACCCUCACCACUCCCAUAAAACAAGGUGAGAUAUGAGACCUCACCUGGAUGACAGCAUUAAUCUCAUAAGAGAAAAUAUAAAAAGGAGGAAUUCUACAAAGCAAAGGAGCUUUUGUGUGCCAUGUAAAAACACACAGCCAUGACUACUUGAGAAGUGGUGAUCGAACUGUAAAUGUUGUAGUUUUCCCGGCUGUGAGAUGGACCUUGUAGCCAUCCAGGCUGGAUUUGCCCUUUAUGGAUGUUGUUUAAGGGACUCAUGAGGCCUUGUUUGAGGUUUUCAGCUUCGUCUCUGAGUUGUAUUUCUCUAAAGACAGAUGUGUUUGCUGCCAGCCAUUUAUACAUGUGCACACAUGUUGAUAGGUUUAUGAUCAUUAUGUGUAAAGAUUCCCCCUUGAUCAGACUAUGAACGCUCUUAUCAUGAUCUUUUUUUUUUGUCUGAACAUGUAUUUGUUUUUUUAAUCUGUGAAUUUUAACAUAUAAUCUUGGAUUUUCAAUAUUUAAACUUUCUAGUGGAAUUUAAAAAAAACAAAAAAACAUUUGUAUUCUCAAGAACAAAAAGCGCUGAUGCAGUCAAUGAGAAAAGACAAACCGCAUGACGAUGUCAGAAGCCAGUCUUGAUGAUGUCAUAGUGCUGACUUAUGAUGUCACGGCGUGUAUGUGUAGAAAUCUACAUGCAUCUGUUUCCAUCUGUGUGCCCCUGUGUGUAACCCUGUGUCAUCCUCCUCCUCUGAGGAACGCCGAACCUCAUUUCUGACCAAACUCGGCUCCUGUCUUCAGCACAUGAGGAUGAUUUUAAGACCUGAGUCUCCAUCGUUAUGUGUCCAUAUCAGCUUGUAAAAAUUUUUUAUUCUUGCCAUUGUUUUAUUUUUUUAUUGUUUAUUUUUAAAGGCGCAUUGAUAAAUCACAGCUUUUUAUGGAGCUAUGUUCACCAAAGUGAGGACUUUUCAAACAUUUAAACAUGUUAAUUAUUGAAGGUUUAUAUUGUGUUCAGUUUUGGUGUUUGAAUAGAAAUGAAACAACUGAGUGCGUUAAUUUGUCACUUGGUUUUUAAGUUUGUGCUGAUGCUGUGUGACCUAAAUACAGUAUGUUUCUGCUGUUUGCGCUCGGUUUAACAGAACCUUAAGGACACAAAUGUGACUCCACAUGCAGUAUUAACAGCUUUUUAAAGUUACAGUACAUGUGAAAGGGGAAACACAGGUUUCAUUAAAGUGUUUUAGUGACAGCAGCUUUUGCUUUAAGGCUGGAUUUACACAGACCUGUGCCAGACUUGUGUUUAAAGAUUAUUACACAACAAAACUCAGCACAGUAGUUUGUAAUACAAACUAACAGGAUUGCACAACUCUUUAAAGUUAUUAUGGCUGCAGCCGUUUUAUCCCGGAUCACGACAAUCUCGAGGUAAACAGCAGAAAUAUGGCCUUCAUGCACGUGUGCACGUACACGAUUGUGCAACACAGCGCCUUGCAUGAUAAUAUGUAAAAGUUAAACCAGAACCAGCUGUUUCUCCACGUGAUCCUGCAGCACACUUUCUCCAUUCAAAUCAAUGAAAAGAGUUGUUUUUGUGUGAAUUCAGCCUGAGCGGGUUGGCAAGGUCAAUGUACUGUGACUUGCCUUUUGCUGGCGGGACUAGAAAAGCUCUGUGGUUUUUAAAAUGCAAACAUCUAAUUAACUUUCAAAAGUGAGAAGCAAAAAAGGAGGGGAAAUGGAAAAGCAGUUGUGUAUUUAAUGUCUAUCUCAUUUCUCCUCAUGCAGAUAUUGUAAUCCAUGCUCAGUUGAUAAAUCUGUGUCUGUGUGUGUGCGUGUGUGUGUGUGUGUGUGUGUGUGUGUGUGUGUGUGUGUGUUAACCACUGGAGAGGGGAUGCACAGGCAUAUUUGUAUCCUCAAAGCAUUACUGCAUACCUCAAAUUGUAAAAUACAUUUAUUUAUUUAUUACAUCCCCUUAUAUGUCUGUUUCCAAAAAAUAUCCAAACAAAGGUCUCACGGAUGUGCAACCCUUUUGUUAUUGGUGAGCGAUUCUUGCAUUUGUAGAAAUCAUACUGUUUAAUUGAUAAUAACAAUAAAUAAAAAUCCCACAAUCUUGUUUGU
This is an RNA transcript of Monopterus albus (swamp eel), 7239 nucleotides long. It is a transcript of the gene named shisa family member 7, with no coding region annotated. The transcript is spliced from 11 exons. NCBI's taxonomy places the organism in Eukaryota, Metazoa, Chordata, Actinopteri, Synbranchiformes, Synbranchidae. The record is from RefSeq and is a predicted model, not a curated record.